CCCUUGUGUUCCAUUACAUUGCCAUUCUUCUCACGUUCUUGGCUUUUGGCUAAUUGCCAACAUACUUGGGCCUUGGGAGGUACUUUGGCCCAACAAAGUAGGGAAGCAUAGAGAAUACCUCGGUGUCCUCUAUCUCGUCCACUCACUGAUAACUAAAUUGUGAGCAUCCCCAGUGCUGUCGUUAUCAUUGACAAUAAUAAUGAUUUCAACCAUCAAAUGGAGAGCUCUUUUUUGCCCCAUCAAACUUCAGAUCCAGAUAAGAAGACUGAGGCUUUUGCAAGCUCCAGAGUAGCUGAGGGAGGAUCUGUAUGCAGGUCUUUUUGGCCCCAAGGGUUGUGGUGAAGCAAGAUAUGAUGAACCUGACCGUAUAGGCAUCAGUCCAUACACAUAGACACCACCAAUCCCGCUUGCCAAUUCUGUCAAGGGAAGGAUGUGUUCCUCAGGGCCAAGCUUGACUGUUAUAAUUAAAUAACAUUCUUUUUUG
This is a long non-coding RNA of Phascolarctos cinereus (koala), 484 nucleotides long. RefSeq lists it as uncharacterized. Lineage: Eukaryota; Metazoa; Chordata; Mammalia; Diprotodontia; Phascolarctidae. The record is from RefSeq and is a predicted model, not a curated record.